This 465-nucleotide ribosomal RNA is filed under the name uncultured bacterium. Its description in RNAcentral is "partial 16S ribosomal RNA". It matches the Rfam family "Bacterial small subunit ribosomal RNA", at positions 338 to 795 of the family's 1533-position model. The record is from RNAcentral.
CCUACGGGGGGCAGCAGUAGGGGAUUUUCGUCAAUGGGCGCAAGCCUGAACGAGCGACGCCGCGUGAGUGAAGAAGGCCCUCGGGGCGUAAAGCUCUGUUGCGGGGGAAAAAAGGCAGCAUCAGGAAAUGGGUGCUGACUGCUGGUUCCCCGCCAGCAAGUCACGGCUAACUACGUGCCAGCAGCCGCGGUAAUACGUAGGUGGCGAGCGUGAUCCGGAAAGAUUGGGCGUAAAGGGUGCGCAGGCGGGCCUGCAAGUCUGGAGUGAACCGCAUGGGCUCAACCCAUGCAUGGCUUUGGGAACUGGAUGACUGGAGAGCAGGAGAGGGCGGUGGAACUCCAUGUGUAGCGGUAAAAUGCGUAGAUAUAUGGAAGAACACCAGUGGCGAAGGCGGCCGCCUGGCCUGUUGCUGACGCUGAGGCACGAAAGCGUGGGGAGCAAAUACGAUUAGAUACCCCAGUAGUC